UACGUAGGGGGCUAGCGUUGUCCGGAAUCAUUGGGCGUAAAGCGCGCGUAGGCGGCCCGGUAAGUCCGCUCUGAAAGUCCAGGGCUCAACCCUGGAAAGCGGGUGGAUACUGCCGGGCUAGAAUCCGGAAGAGGCGAGUGGAAUUCCUGGUGUAGCGGUGGAAUGCGCAGAUAUCAGGAGGAACACCAAUAGCGAAAGCAGCUCUCUGGGACGGUACUGACGCUGAGACGCGAAAGCGUGGGGAGCGAACAGG
Molecule: ribosomal RNA, 253 nt
Filed under: uncultured bacterium
Lineage: Bacteria
Description: partial 16S ribosomal RNA
Rfam family: Bacterial small subunit ribosomal RNA
Source: RNAcentral